Molecule: long non-coding RNA, 671 nt
Organism: Pan troglodytes (chimpanzee)
Lineage: Eukaryota; Metazoa; Chordata; Mammalia; Primates; Hominidae
Exons: 2
Source: RefSeq, a predicted model, not a curated record
GUUUAGGCCAGCAUGUCUGGAGUAUGGUGCAAGAGAGAGAAAGAAGUGAAGAUGAGAUUGGAGAAGGAUCAAAAAGCCAGGUCAUGUAGGACAGUAUAGCUCAAGGCCAAAUAAUACCCACCUGUGAGUUCAGUGUGACUGAUGAGCCAACGGUCUGCAACCUCAAAACAGAAAGAAGGAGGAGGGUCCAGGAUCUUGCCAACACUAAGAUGUCAGAGGAGUAGGAUCCAGCCAUCAAAGAAUGUUCAGAACCCACUGAACAGACAGAGGGAAAACCAAGAGUGUGAUAUUCCUCAAGACAAAAGAAGAAAGCGGCAGGAAGAAGCUGAAUGGUCAGCUUUGUAGGCUGCUGACAAGAGUUUGGGUAAGGUGAGGACCCACAAAUGUCCAUUUGAUGUGCCAUCAUGAGUAUUGGUUGGUAACCUCAACUAGAGAAGUUUCUGUAGAUCUCUGGUAUGGAAUCCUGUUUGAAGAAGAUUGAAGAAUUAAUGUGAGAUAUGAAAGUAAAAAGAGCAGGGCAAUUACCCUCUUCAGAAGUUUUUCUGAGAAAGAGGAGAAUAAAACUGGGGCUGUGCUAUUAAGGGGAUAUGAGGUUUUGGAAGGAAUUCUUAAAGAUAGGUUUAUUAGUAUGUUCUCAUGCCUGUAAUAAAGACAUAACCAAGACUGGGUAA